RNAcentral lists this long non-coding RNA (4618 nucleotides) under Prunus persica (peach). Its description in RNAcentral is "long non-coding RNA (PPER_LNC003861)". The record is from RNAcentral. Lineage: Eukaryota; Viridiplantae; Streptophyta; Magnoliopsida; Rosales; Rosaceae.
UUUUUUAUCAGUUAGUUGCCCCGCCUCUGUAGUUUUACCAGGAAUGGGGGGUAAAACUGGAAUUCCUGGAAUUCCUGGAAGGGGAGGGAGAGGAGGAAGUUGUGGCAAUGGUGGAAGAAAAGGGACUGUAGGAAGAGGAGAAAGAUCAGGUAUUGUGGAGUUUUGAGUUAGUUGCCCUGCCUCUGUAGUUUUACCAGGAAUGGGGGGUAAAACUGGAAUUCCUGGAAUUCCUGGAAGUCCUGGAAGGGGAGGGAGAGGAGGAAGUUGUGGCAAUGGUGGAAGAAAAGGGACUGUAGGAAGAGGAGAAAGAUCAGGUAUUGUGGAGGUUUGAGUUAGUUGCCCUGCCUCUGUAGUUUUACCAGGAAUGGGGGGUAAAACUGGAAUUCCUGGAAUUCCUGGAAGUCCUGGAAGGGGAGGGAGAGGAGGAAGUAGUGGCAAUGGUGGAAGAUAAGGGAGUGUAGGAAGAGAUGGAAGAUCAGGUAUUGUGGGGUUUUGAGUUGGUGGUGGAAAUGUGAGCUCAUCAGUUGGAGGAAAUGAGAAUUUCCGAGAACUGAAUUCCUUGGAGUUUUGAAUGCUUGGUUUUUGGUUACAUAGGCUUGGCUGCUUUAGAGGCUUAAAGGUGAAGAACCCAGCUGAGAAAAUGUGUGUUCCUUGCUUUCUUGACUUGAGAUGCAGUGAAGAUGAAGUGGCUAUUGAGGCCACAGCACAAUAUGGUUCACUGCUGCUGAUUAAUUUCACAGAACACCCUUCAAUUUUCUUGACAUGCUUGCUCACAGAGAAAGGCAGAUGAACUCUGAACACUCCAUGGCUAUCUGUUUUCACUUCUGUCUGGAAACUUGGUUUUGAACUCCCAUCUUUGCAUUCAACACCAACAGAAGCCCCUGCAGAAAAAAUAAGUUGAAAAAUAAGUCAACUGAACGCAAAAUUCACAGUAUAAAAAGCACUUUUUAAUUGAGUUGUUGUUGGAAAAUUUGAAAUGAACCUGAAAUGAAGUGGCUGGCAUGUGAGAAUUCUGCUUGGAAACAUGUGUCACAGUAGACAGUGCCUACAACAACUGCAGAUGGGGUCUUCUUCUCAUGGCUAGCUUCUGAGGGAGUACUUAGUGAGAGAGUACUGAUCAAAAAGAGUACUGUAAAAAACCAAGACAUUUUAGAGCAUCUAUUGCCUCUGAGCAACUCUAACUCUAAGAAUGAGUAGAUGUAGGUUGCCUUUUUAUAUAAAUUCCUGAGGCUUAUAGCUGAUAUAAAUAUUCUCUACAGCAUUCAUUAUACACUUUUUUUGUUUCUUUCUGGUUGUUUCGAGGCAUAAAAAAUGAACUUUUUUCUUCAAAUUUUAUAGCCUGCUGGGCCAUCAAGGUAAUUUAUUUCACUCAUGCAAAAACCAGUCAACUGCAAACUAGAAGAAGUGAAUGUAGGUUCAUUUCCUACCACCAAACAACCCAAAAAAGAAGGUUAAUACUGUGAUUGUGAGGUAGAUAUAAAGAGGCCCCUAACUUUUGCUUUGUUUGCUUACAUUUAUUGAGUUUGUUUCUUUGUUUGGUGUAAGAAUUCUAAAGAGAAUAGUUGGGUCCCCGUUGGUUCACGAGACAAGUGGAGUAACCACAAAUUUCAUGAGUCCGAAGCUGUACACUAUCAACAACACAGGUUGAAGAUGUUGUUGGGUUUAUUUAUGUAUGUUCUUCACACAGAAACAAAAUGAUGGGCGCCUACUAUGAGCUGCUCUCAGUAAUAUAUAUCUGUGCAAAUUGAAAAACUCCCCAAGUACCAAACAAAGUUUACAACUCAAUGUAUGGAUCAGAAUCUUAUUAAUAAGGCUUUUUGGUUCAGAAUGUUAUGAUAAUCAUUAGAUUCAUUUAUUACAAUUUGCUUUAAAUUUUCUAAUUGUUUUUAACAAGUCUUUUCAGUGCAGGUGAUCCAUAAAUAGGUAAAGUAAACAGUCAAGUGAUUGCAACCGAAGAGUCUUUUCCUCAGUCUUUUGACACAAAGUUUUCUGACAAAAAAUAAAUAAAUAAAAUUUAGAUUUUAGCAACAAAAAAAUUUUCACUUUUGAAAAAAUCUAAAAAAAUUUCGAAAAAGACAUAAAAACUCCUUAACUUUCAAACCAAAAGACAUGCAAAUAUAAAUGAUUCCUUUGGAAAUCCAAAAAUAAUAAGGGCAUUUUUGUCUAUUUUUGCUUAUUUUCAAAAUAUUUCUCUCUAUUUUGGCAUUUUCCAAAAUAUCCCCAAAAAAAAACGACAAAGUUUAGACAUCAUCAGCAAUUAUAAGUCACUUGAGCACAGAUGUAUAUUCAAUAAUUGGUUUGGUUCAAAAACUACCAAUCUACAUAGUACAAUGAUUGUGGGACUGAUUAUUGGGAAUUUGUGAGACUUAUUUUAGCAGAAAAUGGACAAUGCAUAUGGCAUGCAAUGAUCCAAACUCAAAACAAAGAAGCUACGACUUCCAAGUAUUUGAGCAAUUUCAAGCCAACUCAGAAAUCUCUGUACUCUGUAGGCUUAUAAGACACUCUCCCAUGUGUUGAUGUUGCAUACAGAUUCCCUUUGCAUCAAUAUCCUUCCAUUCCAACAGUCUGUUUUUUUUUUUUUCUUUUUUAAAUUCAAUUUUCCACAUUUUUUACUGUCCGUCAAAUGCAUAGCAUUUUGGGUGAAAAAGAAAAACAAGAACUUCUACUACUGACAAAAGAGACACCAGUCACACCACAGAGGCACAAACUCCAGAAUUAUGAUAAUUACAUCCUGCAUUGGAAAUUGACAGAUUGUCUUCACGUUCCCCACAGUUUUGCAUUGAGCUGCUAACAAUCCCACAAACUUGCACCGUUUCAUUCUUUGUCCGUGGGCCACAAUUUUUGACAAAUUUGACAAUCUAAUAAGGCGGUUCCUGACAAUCCAAGGUUAUCUCCAUGACAACCACAAGCCACUGUUUCACUGUUAUCUUGUGAGGAAAUUGAAAUGUAACACCAAAUUUUCUUUUACACAGUGCAAGAGAUAAUGCAUGUUAAAAGUUAAAAAAACAAAAGGGGGAUGUUUUUGUCUAAUUCUAUGAUGUACAAAACAUCUCUUUGUCCUUCACGGGUUCCAAAACACAAUGUCACCUCUUCACUUCACGGGCGACCUUAAGCCUGUGGGCUGAGGGCCUUCGUGUCUGCUUGUUGAAUGUGGAGUUUUUCAGCCGAUGGAUACCAUUCCCAAAUGGAUACGUCAAGCUUGAAACAUACGAUGAGAUUCUUGAUUAGAUCCUUGAUGGCUUGUCCAUUAUUAUUGAAUUGAAACAACAAAGUUUGAUUGGUAACAAGGUUUGCCAACUCGAAGGGUAAGAUUGUAGCCAAUCAACUAAACUUUUUAGUGUCAGGUGCAUCCACUGAAUGUAAGGUCUCAUAUUUGAUUUACAUAAAUACAAAGAUGAUAUUUAUUUGUGACGGGUGUAUAGCUUUGUUGUGGGUACGCUUCUCAUUGUAAAAGUAUAUUUGUAAUAACAUCAGUAAUUUUUUCUUUUGUAUUAAAUAACAUUAGACACCUCAUUCAUGCAGGGAAGUUCUUUUAUCACAUUGAAUGUAUAAUGUAUAGCAGCAAUUUUCAUCCGUACAAUAAUGUAAUCAUCAGCAUGUGAUAUUUCUGUUUGUUCUUCUAUCUGAGUUUGUAUUUAUUCCAGUCUGAAUGCUUGAUAUGGAGAAAGAAAGUACUUGAUGAGCCAUCUGUCCAUGAAAUCAUUGGUUUCUAAAACAGCAUAAUAUUUGUAGAACAAAACCAUAGAUUAAAUUGUUAGAUUUCUUUAUGCACAAACAAGAUCUUUCACACAAAACUGUAAUACGUAUAAAGACAUGAAGACAUAUCUGGAGCCAUUUUCCUUGAGUACACAGCUUCUAAACUCAUCCAAUCCGUAGCAGCAGCAAUCCUAGCAAGAAUAGGAAUGGCUCAAGACUUCUGCUCUCUCUCAGAAUCUGUUUCAGCUCUCUCUUUAUAAUGAGAAUAGGUUUAAAGAACGUGUCUGAUGAGAGCAGGGCCUUAAGCUUAUAUAGGGCUAGGUCAAGUCGUCUCUAUUCAUCACCUAGGGCUGACUUGACUAAUCUUCCAAGUCCACCAGAUUGGUUCACGCAUAAAUGGAAAUAAAUAGGACCCCUUAAUAGGCCUCAAAACCCUUCCUUAUUUCACUAAGUUUUGGGCCUCAAUGUACAACUUAAUUUAAACUUUUAUUAAAAUAUAAUAUAACUUAGUAUCUAGUACACCGAUCUAAAUAGGAAAACAUAACAUAAAUAAACCCAGCUGCAAGUUUGUAUAUUGGACUGGAGUGGUACCAUUUGCAGAACAAAACAAUGUGAUACAGCGCAAACUAUAUUGGCCAGUUUGCAGAUUCGAAGAAAUAAUGCAAAAUAAUCACAACCAUCAUCUGUAUGCAAAAACAAAAAAACAAAAACAAAAAAAAAACAAAAACAAAAAAAACAAAAAAAAAAAAAAAAAAGAAGAAGAAAGAAAGAACAAUCAACGAUGCUUGUCAUAAAAAACAACUGCAGAUGGGUGCUUCUUCUCAUGGCUAGCUUCAUGAGGGAGUACUUAGUGAGAGAGUACUGAUAAAAAAGAGAACUGUAAAAAACCAAGACAUUUUAAAGCUUCUAUUGCCUCUGAGCA